AGUUUGAUCCUGGCUCAGGACGAACGCUGGCGGCGUGCUUAACACAUGCAAGUCGAGCGGUAAGGCCCCUUCGGGGGUACACGAGCGGCGAACGGGUGAGUAACACGUGAGCAAUCUGCCCUUCACACGGGGAUAACCACCGGAAACGGUGGCUAAUACCCGAUACGACCACUUCAGGCAUCUGAUGGUGGUGGAAAGUUCCGGCGGUGGAGGAUGAGCUCGCGGCCUAUCAGCUUGUUGGUGGGGUAAUGGCCUACCAAGGCAACGACGGGUAGCCGGCCUGAGAGGGUGACCGGCCACACUGGGACUGAGACACGGCCCAGACUCCUACGGGAGGCAGCAGUGGGGAAUAUUGGACAAUGGGCGAAAGCCUGAUCCAGCAACGCCGCGUGAGGGAUGACGGCCUUCGGGUUGUAAACCUCUUUCAGCAGGGACGAAGCGCAAGUGACGGUACCUGCAGAAGAAGCACCGGCCAACUACGUGCCAGCAGCCGCGGUAAUACGUAGGGUGCGAGCGUUGUCCGGAAUUAUUGGGCGUAAAGGGCUCGUAGGCGGUUUGUCGCGUCGGGAGUGAAAACUCAGGGCUUAACCCUGAGCCUGCUUCCGAUACGGGCAGACUAGAGGUAUGCAGGGGAGAACGGAAUUCCUGGUGUAGCGGUGAAAUGCGCAGAUAUCAGGAGGAACACCGGUGGCGAAGGCGGUUCUCUGGGCAUUACCUGACGCUGAGGAGCGAAAGUGUGGGGAGCGAACAGGAUUAGAUACCCCCGUAGUCCA
This 773-nucleotide ribosomal RNA is filed under the name uncultured microorganism. Its description in RNAcentral is "bacterial SSU rRNA". It matches the Rfam family "Bacterial small subunit ribosomal RNA", at positions 10 to 797 of the family's 1533-position model. The record is from RNAcentral.